AGCUCAUCAUGCUAGAGCACAUUUUCAAUGGGCUCCCCAACGACAAGGCGACAUCGCAUUCGUAUGUCAUCCAUAUCCACUUUCGAUGCCAUUUACUGCACCCACCAUGGUGACCACAGGUAACGGGGAAUCAGGGUUCGAUUCCUGAGAGGGAGCCUGAGAAACGGCUACCACAUGCAAGGAAGGCA
This 188-nucleotide ribosomal RNA is filed under the name Pelobates cultripes (western spadefoot toad). RNAcentral's name for it is "SSU_rRNA_microsporidia". It matches the Rfam family "Eukaryotic small subunit ribosomal RNA", at positions 220 to 427 of the family's 1831-position model. The record is from RNAcentral. Lineage: Eukaryota; Metazoa; Chordata; Amphibia; Anura; Pelobatidae.